UAUGGUAAUUGUGUGCAGCCGCGGUAAUCCGUAGGGGGCAAGCGUUAUCCGGAAUUACUGGGUGUAAAGGGUGCGUAGGUGGUAUGGCAAGUCAGAAGUGAAAACCCAGGGCUUAACUCUGGGACUGCUUUUGAAACUGUCAGACUGGAGUGCAGGAGAGGUAAGCGGAAUUCCUAGUGUAGCGGUGAAAUGCGUAGAUAUUAGGAGGAACAUCAGUGGCGAAGGCGGCUUACUGGACUGAAACUGACACUGAGGCACGAAAGCGUGGGGAGCAAACAGG
This 280-nucleotide ribosomal RNA is filed under the name Anaerostipes hadrus ATCC 29173 = JCM 17467. RNAcentral describes it as "Anaerostipes hadrus DSM 3319 partial 16S ribosomal RNA". It matches the Rfam family "Bacterial small subunit ribosomal RNA", at positions 493 to 776 of the family's 1533-position model. Lineage: Bacteria; Bacillati; Bacillota; Clostridia; Lachnospirales; Lachnospiraceae. The record is from RNAcentral.